GAUGAACGCUGGCGGCGUGCCUAAUACAUGCAAGUCGAGCGAACAGACGAGGAGCUUGCUCCUCUGACGUUAGCGGCGGACGGGUGAGUAACACGUGGAUAACCUACCUAUAAGACUGGGAUAACUUCGGGAAACCGGAGCUAAUACCGGAUAAUAUAUUGAACCGCAUGGUUCAAUAGUGAAAGACGGUUUUGCUGUCACUUAUAGAUGGAUCCGCGCCGCAUUAGCUAGUUGGUAAGGUAACGGCUUACCAAGGCAACGAUGCGUAGCCGACCUGAGAGGGUGAUCGGCCACACUGGAACUGAGACACGGUCCAGACUCCUACGGGAGGCAGCAGUAGGGAAUCUUCCGCAAUGGGCGAAAGCUUGACGGAGCAACGCCGCGUGAGUGAUGAAGGUCUUCGGAUCGUAAAACUCUAUUAUUAGGGAAGAACAAAUGUGUAAGUAACUAUGCACGUCUUGACGGUACCUAAUCAGAAAGCCACGGCUAACUACGUG
Molecule: ribosomal RNA, 497 nt
Filed under: uncultured bacterium
Lineage: Bacteria
Description: partial 16S ribosomal RNA
Rfam family: Bacterial small subunit ribosomal RNA
Source: RNAcentral